This 21-nucleotide unclassified non-coding RNA is filed under the name Dictyostelium discoideum. The record is from RNAcentral. Lineage: Eukaryota; Evosea; Eumycetozoa; Dictyosteliales; Dictyosteliaceae.
AACUUGUUUGUUCGACGAGUG